RNAcentral lists this ribosomal RNA (527 nucleotides) under Eukoenenia sp. DNA100456.2. RNAcentral describes it as "eukaryotic LSU rRNA". It matches the Rfam family "Eukaryotic large subunit ribosomal RNA", at positions 666 to 1147 of the family's 3401-position model. Lineage: Eukaryota; Metazoa; Arthropoda; Arachnida; Palpigradi; Eukoeneniidae. The record is from RNAcentral.
CCAAGGAGUCUAACAUGUGUGCGAGUCAUUGGGUCUUGAAUAUGCCCAAAGGCGAAAUGAGAGUGAAGGCUAGGUCCAAUUUUUUUUGGCCGGCUAGGUUGGGAUCCCUCGCCCCAUGUGGCGGGGGCGCACCAACGUCCCGCCCCGUCUGCUGUGUCAGAGGGACGGAGAUGGAGCAUACAUGUUGGGACCCGAAAGAUGGUGAACUAUGCCUGGGCAGGACGAAGCCAGAGGAAACUCUGGUGGAGGUCCGCAGCGAUUCUGACGUGCAAAUCGAUCGUCAGACCUUGGUAUAGGGGCGAAAGACUAAUCGAACCAUCUAGUAGCUGGUUCCCUCCGAAGUUUCCCUCAGGAUAGCUGGCGCUCGGGAAAUUCAGUCUCAUCCGGUAAAGCGAAUGAUUAGAGGCCUUGGGGCCGAAACGACCUCAACCUAUUCUCAAACUUUAAAUGGGUGAGAAGUCCGGCUUGCUUGAUCGAAGCUCGGACAGUUGGAUGUGAGUGCCCAGUGGGCCACUUUUGGUAAGCAG